This 72-nucleotide transfer RNA is filed under the name Fejervarya kawamurai. Its description in RNAcentral is "tRNA-Leu". The record is from RNAcentral. Lineage: Eukaryota; Metazoa; Chordata; Amphibia; Anura; Dicroglossidae.
GCUUUUAUUGGAAAGUAGUCUUCCACUGGCCUUAGGAGCCAGCCCCCCUUGGUGCAAGUCCAAGUAAAAGCC